GCCGGGUGUGGUGGUGCAUGCCUGUAAUCCCAGCAGAUCAGGAGGCUGAGACAGGAAGAUUACGAGUUCAAAACCAGCCACAGCAAAAGCAAGGCACUAAGCAACUCAGUGAGACCUUGUCUCUA
This 125-nucleotide small RNA is filed under the name Marmota monax (woodchuck). The record is from RNAcentral. Lineage: Eukaryota; Metazoa; Chordata; Mammalia; Rodentia; Sciuridae.